AGGGUGGAACAUUUAGAGAUGGCAAGUGGUUCAGUGUGGCUGGAGCUCAGGCUCUGCAGUGGGGAAUAUUCAAAGACUAAAUGUAGCCAGGAGUCUGGAGUCAGAGAAGGAAAGUCCAAGUCUGGGGUGAAGGAAGAAUAAUCUGAGCUUGAAAUAAAGACUUAGAAUGUAGACCACCACCUUCUAGCUCAAAAUUAGAAGACAUUAUUGGAUAGUUGCAAGAAGUUAUGAACUUGAGAAUAACCCAGAAAUAAGCCAUGGAAGAAAUGACUGCUUCCCCUUCACCUUCAACCAUGACUGAAAGUUUCCUGAGACCUCCCCAGAAGCCAAGCAGAUGCCAGCUUCAUGCUUCCUUUACAGCCUGUGGAAAUAUUUACCCAACUAGGAUGAUUCUUGCCUUCAUUGCUUUUCAGCUUCAUUCAAGAACACCAGGUUUUUCUCCUGCCCUCAACAUGUAAGUUAAAAGGGAUUCUAAAUGUUUCAAUGGAAGAUAAACUUCAUGUCCUUCAAAUUAAGAGAAGCUGAAAAGAUAAAUAGAAUAUGAUGAGUAGCAAGAAUUGAGAGAAAAUG
This 570-nucleotide long non-coding RNA is filed under the name Callithrix jacchus (white-tufted-ear marmoset). RNAcentral describes it as "lncRNA (ENSCJAG00000082239.1)". Lineage: Eukaryota; Metazoa; Chordata; Mammalia; Primates; Cebidae. The record is from RNAcentral.